Molecule: ribosomal RNA, 823 nt
Filed under: uncultured bacterium
Lineage: Bacteria
Description: bacterial SSU rRNA
Rfam family: Bacterial small subunit ribosomal RNA
Source: RNAcentral
CCUGGGAACUGCGUUNUGAACUGGGUAGCUAGAGUAUNUCAGAGGGGGGUAGAAUUCCACGUGUAGCAGUGAAAUGCGUAGAGAUGUGGAGGAAUACCGAUGGCGAAGGCAGCCCCCUGGGAUAAUACUGACGUUCAUGCUCGAAAGCGUGGGUAGCAAACAGGAUUAGAUACCCUGGUAGUCCACGCCCUAAACGAUGUCGAUUAGCUGUUGGGCAACUUGAUUGCUUAGUAGCGUAGCUAACGCGUGAAAUCGACCGCCUGGGGAGUACGGUCGCAAGAUUAAAACUCAAAGGAAUUGACGGGGACCCGCACAAGCGGUGGAUGAUGUGGAUUAAUUCGAUGCAACGCGAAGAACCUUACCUGGUCUUGACAUGUACGGAAGAACUCAGAGACGAGUUUGUGCCUUCGGGAGCCGUAACACAGGUGCUGCAUGGCUGUCGUCAGCUCGUGUCGUGAGAUGUUGGGUUAAGUCCCGCAACGAGCGCAACCCUUGUCAUUAGUUGCCAUCAUUUAGUUGGGCACUCUAAUGAGACUGCCGGUGACAAACCGGAGGAAGGUGGGGAUGACGUCGAGUCCUCAUGGCCCUUAUGACCAGGGCUUCACACGUCAUACAAUGGUCGGUACAGAGGGUAGCCAAGCCGUGAGGUGGAGCCAAUCCCAGAAAACCGAUCGUAGUCCGGAUUGCACUCUGCAACUCGAGUGCAUGAAGUCGGAAUCGCUAGUAAUCGCAGGUCAGCAUACUGCGGUGAAUACGUUCCCGGGUCUUGUACACACCGCCCGUCACACCAUGGGAGUGGGGGAUACCAGAAGUAGGUAGGGUA